This is a non-coding RNA of Pelobates cultripes (western spadefoot toad), 375 nucleotides long. NCBI's taxonomy places the organism in Eukaryota, Metazoa, Chordata, Amphibia, Anura, Pelobatidae. The record is from the annotation of a GenBank genome assembly.
GGAGAGAGGGUCUUAAGUUGAAAUACCCAUUCCAUUUCUCUCUUUCCAAGAAUUUUUCUCAUAUCUCCCCCUCUCCAAGGGGUGUUACAUUGUUCUAUACCCAUACAUUUAAGUAAUUUAGGGUCUUUAUUGUGUUUGAUAAAGCGUUUUGAUACAGAAUGGUUUUCAUAUCCCUUAGUAAUAUUUCGACAAUGUUCGGCUAAUCUUAUUUUUAAACAUCUUUUAGUCAUGCCUAUGUAUUGCAGCCCGCAAGGGCAUUCUAGAAGAUAGAUAAUAUUUUUCGAUUUACAACCAAUAAAAUCUUUUAUAGGGUAUGACUUGCCUGUGUUAGUCGAGGAAAAGUGAGUGGUCUUAGAUUUGAUUAAUGAAUUUGUG